RNAcentral lists this transfer RNA (85 nucleotides) under Blumeria hordei DH14. Its description in RNAcentral is "tRNA-His (GTG) (tRNA-His-GTG-2-1)". It matches the Rfam family "tRNA". From Rfam's summary of the family: Transfer RNA (tRNA) molecules are approximately 80 nucleotides in length. Their secondary structure includes four short double-helical elements and three loops (D, anti-codon, and T loops). Further hydrogen bonds mediate the characteristic L-shaped molecular structure. tRNAs have two regions of fundamental functional importance: the anti-codon, which is responsible for specific mRNA codon recognition, and the 3' end, to which the tRNAs corresponding amino acid is attached (by aminoacyl-tRNA synthetases). tRNAs cope with the degeneracy of the genetic code in two manners: having more than one tRNA (with a specific anti-codon) for a particular amino acid; and 'wobble' base-pairing, i.e. permitting non-standard base-pairing at the 3rd anti-codon position. RNAcentral also lists the same sequence under 1 other name. The record is from Rfam by way of RNAcentral. Lineage: Eukaryota; Fungi; Ascomycota; Leotiomycetes; Helotiales; Erysiphaceae.
GGUGGUGUGGUGUAAUGGUAGCACGUGACGUUGUGGUCAUCACAGCUAACCCGUUUCAAUCUGGGUUCGAUUCCCAGCACCGCCA